GGAGGGGUUCGCGUCCUAUUAGCUAGUUGGCGGGAUAACAGCCCACCAAGGCGACGAUGGGUAGCCGGACUGAGAGGUUGAACGGCCACACUGGAACUGAGAGACGGUCCAGACUCCUACGGGAGGCAGCAGUGGGGAAUAUUGGGCAAUGGGGGAAACCCUGACCCAGCAACGCCGCGUGAGGGAAGAAGGUUUUCGGAUUGUAAACCUCUGUCGCCAGGGACGAAAGAAAUGACGGUACCUGGUAAGAAAGCCCCGGCAAACUACGUGCCAGCAGCCGCGGUAAUACGUAGGGGGCGAGCGUUGUCCGGAAUUACUGGGCGUAAAGGGUGCGUAGGCGGUUUUACAAGUCGGAUGUGGAAUACCCGGGCUUAACCCGGGGGUGUCAUUCGAAACUGUAAGACUUGAGUGCAGAAGAGGAAAGUGGAAUUCCCAGUGUAGCGGUGAAAUGCGUAGAUAUUGGGAGGAACACCAGUGGCGAAGGCGACUUUCUGGGCUGUAACUGACGCUGAGGCACGAAAGCGUGGGGAGCAAACAGGAUUAGAUACCCUGGUAGUCCACGCUGUAAACGAUGAAUGCUAGGUUAGGGGGUAUCGACCCCCCUGUGCCGGAGCAAACGCAAUAA
Molecule: ribosomal RNA, 625 nt
Filed under: uncultured bacterium
Lineage: Bacteria
Description: bacterial SSU rRNA
Rfam family: Bacterial small subunit ribosomal RNA
Source: RNAcentral